UAAUUUUUGCCUAACAAUCUAAAUCACGAUUAAAUUCAAAACAAUAAUAACCAAAAAAAAGCAACUACUUCAGUAACUCAAACUUUAAGAAACAUAAUAUAAACUCUACAACAAACACAAAAUUCAUAAGAAACUCAUAAGAGAAGAAACAAUCACAGAAGCAAUUUUGCACUUAUCGCCACUAUUAACAAGUAAAAUAAAGAUAAGCGAGAGAUGUUGAACCUCAAAAGCAAUAAAACGCAACAACUACAUAGAUCUAGACCCCAAAAAUUAAGCGAGAAACAGCAACAAGAAUCUGACAGGAACCGCGACUGAAAUGACCGGAGACCGUAAAUCCGAACCAAAUUCAGCACCUCAAUCACUCAAAAAUUGAAUAAUCUCCAUUCUUUUUAUGUGAGAUUCGUAAUAUAUUACACCAAAAACAUUAUCUUAACCUUGGCUCUAAUAUAGAAAAAUGGUUGCUUCAUCUAAGUUUUGUAAAUGGACCAGAAAAUACAAGAUGAAGUAUUAGACUUUGUUACUCCUUGGAUUGUCGUUCCCCUUUGUUCUUGUCCAUUCUUCUGUUCCUCUUACUUUGCGUGGGUGUGUGUGUGAUUGUCAAUUCUUUUGCUGGCACCAUCACCAGAUAUGUGAAGAAAGGAGGAGUUAAAGAAAAAAAGUGGAAAAUGGUUGUUGAUGUUGGCCGGCGACGUCAAUGGUGAAAGUGGCAGAAGGGUUGUGUGUGUGGGGGGGGAGGGGGGGAGGUCGGCAAUUUGGUGGUGUAGGUUGAAGGUGAAGGCUCUAUUUUUGUCUUAGGGUCGGAGUUUACUAAAGAUGAAAAAGAAG
Molecule: long non-coding RNA, 825 nt
Filed under: Nicotiana benthamiana
Lineage: Eukaryota; Viridiplantae; Streptophyta; Magnoliopsida; Solanales; Solanaceae
Description: long non-coding RNA (NBEN_LNC024803)
Source: RNAcentral